GGGGUGUUCAAAGUGGCUUAAAAGUCAGGUGUUUGGAGGCUGAAACUCUUAUUCAAAUGGCAGUGAGUGCAGCUGUGAUUCGCAGGGACUGGGUUGCCUGGCUGUCUGGCAAUGGAUAGGAGGAGGGGCAGGGGGACAAAUGGGAGAGGGGGAGACAAGGGGGGGGGAUCACGGCUAACACUACAGGCAGAAUGGGACUUUGCUGUGGCCCAGGCAAAUAGGGCACAGGCCCACAGAAAGGUAACAGACUUGCCAACAUUGGUGUCCGCACUAUAUUCCAGACUCACCUCCAGGACACGGCCGACCCCCGCGACCGGCGGCGGCAGCAGCAGCAGCAUGAGAAGCACGAGAAGCAAUCUAGCAGCAUCUCCCUCUUCUCCAACCCCCUCCAUACGAGUCCUGCGAGGAGUUACCCCCUAAACACACGCACCAGAGAUGUUUUGUCAUCAAGCUGCCACCGUUUUCAGGGGGAAAAUAAAGCCCUGCCAUGCAUAAUACAGGAGGAUCAGGAUCAGACCAUUGAAUCAUCUUGUCACUUUGGACUGAAAUUGGAUUUUUUUUCCUGUGGCUGAGCUUUUACAUCUUCCUAAUGCUUGAGGAGUGUUGGGUGAGAAUGAAGCAAUUUACAAUGCAAAUAGAGGCCUGGGAAGAGAUGGAGGCUGAUCCAUGCAUCUUGGGAGCUGUUUGUGUUUUCUCAUCUCUGGCACAACAAUUUGGUGAUGAUUACUGCUCUCGGAAUAACUGGCCAAGAGGAAAGUUGGGGAUAAACUUUAAAGGCAACAGAUCUCAUUGGAUGCUUAUUAUGUUGAUCACUCAAGAGCAGAAAUGCCAUAGGAAAGAGGAAUCAGUGGCACUAGACACCAAGCUGUUGUGGAUGUUCCAGCAGGAUCAGUGUGUGUGUGUGUGGGAAGUGGUUGUUAUCUUUGGUUAUCUAGCUGUAUGAGUAUACUGGUUUCAUAAAGCUAGAUAACCGAAAGUAAAAACUCCUUCCAGAUCGUCAUCUAAGGAAUAUAUCGCCCAGGGACUGCCAAUAUAAUGACUGUGUCGAGCCCAUGAAUGCAUUUAUCUAGACUCAUGCUGAAUGGAUUGUAUUGCCUUGCAUUUAAACACAUGCAACAGAGCACGGAUUUGAAAUCAUGCUGCUGGGUUUUAUUAUCAAAGCCAUCAAAUCCUCCAUGGGGAAAAAAUGGUGCUGGUGGUAAUGUAUGUGCAAGUUUUGAUGUUCAGCAUAUAAUGUGUUAACACUGUAUAUUUUCCUGCUAUCAUAACUAUGGUAGGAUCCUAUAGACACACAGGAGACAAGACUGCACUCAGGACUGAAUCUACAAUUGUAUUGUAAGAGCAAAAGGUUAUGUGAACAUUUUUUUCUGAAGAAGGUCUCAGCUGGCGGUCGAAACGUUAAGCUAAUUUUUUUCAGUGAAAAUGCUUUCUCCUUUAUUAAAUCCCACGAGUACAGUA
Xenopus laevis (African clawed frog) is the source of this 1458-nucleotide long non-coding RNA. RefSeq lists it as uncharacterized. The record is from RefSeq and is a predicted model, not a curated record. The transcript has 2 exons. Lineage: Eukaryota; Metazoa; Chordata; Amphibia; Anura; Pipidae.